This is a long non-coding RNA of Gossypium arboreum, 268 nucleotides long. RefSeq lists it as uncharacterized. The record is from RefSeq and is a predicted model, not a curated record. Lineage: Eukaryota; Viridiplantae; Streptophyta; Magnoliopsida; Malvales; Malvaceae. The transcript is spliced from 2 exons.
AAGCUCUUCAACAAAAUCAUCACAGUAGUAUGGUUGCCCACUUUUCAACAAAUUUCACCUAACAGUCAUUAACAACAUUGUAAUGACAUUUGGGAAUUGUGCUCUUCAUAUCACCAUUGUUGCUCAGAUGGAUAUAGAAUUCUGCAUGACAGUGAAGGAACCCGUGAAGAAACUACGUUCAGCUUUUGUAUUUCUAGCGUGACAAAUUUCCCCGUUAGGAACUUUAUAUAUAAUUUCUAUUAUAUGUCUUUUAAUUGGAUGGCAAUAA